This 224-nucleotide ribosomal RNA is filed under the name uncultured bacterium. RNAcentral describes it as "partial 16S ribosomal RNA". It matches the Rfam family "Bacterial small subunit ribosomal RNA", at positions 30 to 261 of the family's 1533-position model. The record is from RNAcentral.
UUGAACGCUGGCGGCAUGCCUUACACAUGCAAGUCGAACGGUAGAGGGGCAACCCUUGAGAGUGGCGAACGGGUGAGUAAUGCAUCGGAACGUGCCCAGUCGUGGGGGAUAACGCAGCGAAAGCUGUGCUAAUACCGCAUGUGAUCUGUGGAUGAAAGCAGGGGACCGCAAGGCCUUGUGCGAUUGGAGCGGCCGAUGUCAGAUUAGCUAGUUGGUAGGGUAAA